AUUGAACGCUGGCGGAAUGCUUUACACAUGCAAGUCGAACGGUAGAGGGGGCAACCCCUCGAGAGUGGCGAACGGGUGAGUAAUAUAUCGGAACGUGCCCAGUCGUGGGGGAUAACGUAGCGAAAGUUACGCUAAUACCGCAUACGAUCUAAGGAUGAAAGCGGGGAUCGCAAGACCUCGCGCGAUUGGAGCGGCCGAUAUCAGAUUAGGUAGUUGGUGGGGUAAAGGCUCACCAAGCCAACGAUCUGUAGCUGGUCUGAGAGGACGACCAGCCACACUGGAACUGAGACACGGUCCAGACUCCUACGGGAGGCAGCAGUGGGGAAUUUUGGACAAUGGACGCAAGUCUGAUCCAGCCAUUCCGCGUGCAGGAUGAAGGCCCUCGGGUUGUAAACUGCUUUUGUACGGAACGAAAAGGUCUCUCUUAAUACGGGGGGCUCAUGACGGUACCGUAAGAAUAAGCACCGGCUAACUACGUGCCAGCAGCCGCUGUAA
Molecule: ribosomal RNA, 495 nt
Filed under: uncultured bacterium
Lineage: Bacteria
Description: partial 16S ribosomal RNA
Rfam family: Bacterial small subunit ribosomal RNA
Source: RNAcentral